RNAcentral lists this ribosomal RNA (180 nucleotides) under Rhizophagus intraradices. The record is from RNAcentral. Lineage: Eukaryota; Fungi; Glomeromycota; Glomeromycetes; Glomerales; Glomeraceae.
CAGUCGUACCUGCGGGUAAUCAGCCUUUUGGGCAAGAUUCUGUGGAGCGUGAGGAGUUAAACGCCUUUCAUUGCCUGCAUAUUCGUGUACUUUGGGUGUACUUGCCUGUGUGGUUAGUUAACAUCAAUUUUUGGUAUCAUAAAAUGGUUGGAGGAAUGUAGCUUCGAUCUCGUAUUGAAG